RNAcentral lists this ribosomal RNA (465 nucleotides) under Vreelandella stevensii. RNAcentral's name for it is "partial 16S ribosomal RNA". It matches the Rfam family "Bacterial small subunit ribosomal RNA", at positions 338 to 795 of the family's 1533-position model. The record is from RNAcentral. Lineage: Bacteria; Pseudomonadati; Pseudomonadota; Gammaproteobacteria; Oceanospirillales; Halomonadaceae.
CCUACGGGGGGCUGCAGUGGGGAAUAUUGGACAAUGGGGGCAACCCUGAUCCAGCCAUGCCGCGUGUGUGAAGAAGGCCCUCGGGUUGUAAAGCACUUUCAGUGAGGAAGAACGCCUGGUGGUUAAUACCCAUCAGGAAAGACAUCACUCACAGAAGAAGCACCGGCUAACUCCGUGCCAGCAGCCGCGGUAAUACGGAGGGUGCGAGCGUUAAUCGGAAUUACUGGGCGUAAAGCGCGCGUAGGUGGCUUGAUAAGCCGGUUGUGAAAGCCCCGGGCUCAACCUGGGAACGGCAUCCGGAACUGUCAAGCUAGAGUGCAGGAGAGGAAGCUAGAAUUCCCGGUGUAGCGGUGAAAUGCGUAGAGAUCGGGAGGAAUACCAGUGGCGAAGGCGGCCUUCUGGACUGACACUGACACUGAGGUGCGAAAGCGUGGGUAGCAAACAGGAUUAGAUACCCCUGUAGUC